UACGGAGGGUGCAAGCGUUGCUCGGAAUUAUUGGGCGUAAAGGGUAGGUAGGUGGUCUCAUUUGUCUGAGGUGAAAGCCUUGAGCUUAACUCAAGAAGUGCCUCAGAAACGGUGAGACUAGAGUCCUGGAGAGGGUCGUGGAAUUCCCGGUGUAGCGGUGAAAUGCGUAGAGAUCGGGAGGAACACCAGAGGCGAAGGCGGCGACCUGGACAGGUACUGACACUCAACUACGAAAGCGUGGGGAGCAAACGGG
RNAcentral lists this ribosomal RNA (253 nucleotides) under uncultured bacterium. RNAcentral describes it as "partial 16S ribosomal RNA". It matches the Rfam family "Bacterial small subunit ribosomal RNA", at positions 524 to 776 of the family's 1533-position model. The record is from RNAcentral.